This 967-nucleotide ribosomal RNA is filed under the name uncultured eukaryote. RNAcentral describes it as "SSU rRNA". It matches the Rfam family "Eukaryotic small subunit ribosomal RNA", at positions 606 to 1655 of the family's 1831-position model. The record is from RNAcentral.
GAAGUUGCUGCAGUUAGAAAGCUCGUAGUUGAAUAUCCGGCGUCUCUGACGUCUGCCCGACUCGGCUGUAGAUGUUGAGAAACUUUUACUGUUCGAUCAGGCGUUUACUGUGAACAAAUUAGAGUGCUCAAAACAGGCUUUUGCUUGAAUUUUUUAGCAUGGAAUAAUAAAAUACGACUUCGCUCAUUUUAUUGGUUCUUGAACGAAGUAAUGGUUAACAGGAACAGUUGGGGGCAUUCGUACUUAAAAGUCAGAGGUGAAAUUCUUAGAUUUUUUAAAGACGAACUAAUGCGAAGGCAUUUGCCAAGGAUGUUUUCAUUAAUCAAGAACGAAAGCGUUGGGAUCAAAAAGGAUCAGAUACCCUUGUAGUCAACGCCGUAAACGAUACUGACUAGGGAUUGGUGAGGCGAACCCUCAUCAGCACCUAAUGAGAAAUCAAAGUCUUUGAGUUCUGGGGAGAGUAUGGUCGCAAGGCUGAAACUUAAAGGAAUUGACGGAAAGAUACACAAGUCGUGGAUUCUGCGGCUUAAUUUGAUUCAACACGGGAAAACUUACGCAGGCAAAAAGCUAGUAGGAUUGACAGCUUGAUAGCACUUUCUUGAUUUGGCAGCGAGUGGUGCAUGGCCGUUCUUAGUUGGUGGAGUGAUUUGUCAGGUUAAUUCCCUUAACGAACGAGAUCUUCACUUGCUAACUAGUCGUGACUAAAACCUAGUCAUUGACUUCUUAGAAGGACUACGGUUCCAAAACCGUGGAAGUUGGAGGCAAUAACAGGUCCGUGAUGCCCUCAGAUGUUUGCGGCCGCACGCGUAAUACCAUGAUUGGCACAAUAAGUCUACCUAAUCCGAAAGGAGCUGGGUAACCUUCAUAAUGCCAAUCGUGCUUGGGAUAGAACCCUUGCAAUUUUGGUUCUUGAACGAGGAAUGACUAGUAAGCUGAAGUCACUAACCUCAGCUGAUUACUGUCCCUA